AGGACUUAAGAUGUCUUCUUUGAUCAGGCACCAUUUGGGACAUGGGAGACCUUCAGUAGCUAAAAGCAGUAAGCCAUCUAAACCUUUUCUGCCAACUUCUCAUUCUCCCCAAGAGGGCUACUUAAAGGAGAGUGAAGACAGACUAAGGUUGGCCUUGAAGUGUGCUCAAGUGAUCCUCCUGUGUGAGCCUCAAGUAGCUGUAGCUAGGGCAGGGUGCCACGCCCUCUCGUUUUCUUAGUGACUCAUGGUUAUUGCCGGGCAGCAUGCACGCCUCACUCUCCAGGCCCUCCUUCUGUCCGCUCCUUUCCUCCUCUGUAUUCAGCAGGGAGUGCCUCUG
Long non-coding RNA from Phodopus roborovskii (desert hamster), 337 nucleotides. RefSeq lists it as uncharacterized. The transcript is spliced from 3 exons. Lineage: Eukaryota; Metazoa; Chordata; Mammalia; Rodentia; Cricetidae. The record is from RefSeq and is a predicted model, not a curated record.